UCUGAGCAAACAUCAAAGCCGACGUCUCUGCACAGCUGUGUGCCCUCGCCGUCGCGGCCCAACUGGAAUCGGCGAUGAUGAUGAAAUCCCGCGACGGAAGACAUCAGAAAUCGGCCUUGCCAUCCCAACACGGAUCCUGCUGAAAAGGGGUGGUGAGGCAAAAAAACUCAAAUCAAUAGAAUGGGACGCAGAUCUAAGCCCGGCGGGCGGUCAAUAAGAAGACGCACGCAUGGCACUCAACACGAAUGGAGCACAUCUCGCUGGUGAUGAACAAUAACUAGAAGAAAAGCAAAGUACAGGAUGUGAUCCAGCCUCACCGACGGAAACAAUGGAGAAAAUGAUUUCCCUCGGCCAGAUCCAUGGACGAGGACCGCGUCCUCUGCAGAUCCGGUGUUGCGCAGGCUCGAGGUGAUCUGGCCGCCGGAGUGGAAGAUGACGCGGGAUCCGGGUGGUUUGGCCGCCGGAAUGGAAGAGGACGAGUGCUCCGGCCAUCGCUUCGGUCGCACGCGCAUUGUUGGAGCUGAGGUAGGGUGUGGCGGAGCCAUGAGCAGACGAGAGGUAGCUGGCGACGGGAAUAAUGGAAGAG
This 586-nucleotide long non-coding RNA is filed under the name Triticum aestivum (bread wheat). Its description in RNAcentral is "long non-coding RNA (TAES_LNC019044)". The record is from RNAcentral. Lineage: Eukaryota; Viridiplantae; Streptophyta; Magnoliopsida; Poales; Poaceae.